RNAcentral lists this long non-coding RNA (1203 nucleotides) under Cairina moschata (Muscovy duck). RNAcentral describes it as "domestica (muscovy Duck (domestic type)) lncRNA (ENSCMMG00000010796.1)". Lineage: Eukaryota; Metazoa; Chordata; Aves; Anseriformes; Anatidae. The record is from RNAcentral.
AUUCAUCCAGAAAGUCCAGCCCAGUGGAAAGUCAUCCACAACUUCAUGUAAAGCAAUUUGCCCAAGUUUGUGGAACUUGAACUCAAAAGUGCUUGGCUCACUUCAGUCACCUACAUGGUUUUUUAAGUGGAAAAAAUGGAUCUAUUUUUUCCCUCUUAUCAGUGUAACAACUCCUCUAUUUACGUACCAAGUCAUUAUCAGCAGGUCUUAUAUCAAUUCAUCCUGUUCUCUUUGCUCCAGGCGUGGGCAGCUGGAGGGCAAGUGUGCUGCUGGCUACUUCUGCCUCGCUGGGAGCUCGCAGUCUGCUCCACAGGGCCCUGGCUUUUCCUGGCGCUUUCUGUCUGGAUGCCGCUGGGGCCAGGUGUGUGCUGGGCUGUGUCCUGCAGGUUUCUAUUGCCUGGAGGGCUCUGAGGUGCCCAUACCGUGUCCUUCCAAUACUAUCAGAGAUGUUCCAGGGGCUGGGCGGAGAGAAGACUGCCUGCCCUGUCCACCCGGCCGCUGGUGCAAAGCAGGGGACUCAGAGGCUUAUCCAUGUCCCUCAGGACACUAUUGCCUCGGAGGUAAUGUCAGUGACCAAAGCAAUCUCCUGGCACCUCAGAAAUGCCCUCCGCACACUUACCGCAAACACCCUGGAGCUCAGAGUGUGGCAGAUUGCCAGCCGUGUCCUCCAGGCUAUCACUGCCCUUUAUCAGGUAAGUGCCAGAUGAAAGCCAACCCUCUUCCACCACUGGAGCUGAUUACAAAACUCCCCAAGACGAGAUAGGGAAGGGGAGAGGUAGUUCAUGUUCACACUGAGCUUAGAGCUCCUCUCUAAAACACCUCCCGGCCAUUCAGCCUCCCUUUCUUCAUUCUUUUCUCUUCCCAACAGGUCUGACCAGGUUUGAGGAUUAUCCGUGCCCCCUGGGAUACUGGUGCCCUGGUAAAGGGGACGCUUUCCUUUGUCCACCUGGUACUUCCAGGAGCCAGCCUGGUGCAAAAUCACUGGAAGAGUGUGAUCCCUGCUCACCUGGGUACUAUUGCCCAGACCCAGCACACACAGGGCUACCUAACAGCCAAGGAAUACCUUGUAAACCUGGCUUUGAAUGCCCAGCAGGUGAUGUAACCAUGCAUCCUGGUUUUCUUUAUUUCCAGCUCUUUCUGAGUCCAGAUAGGUGAACAGUGGACAGCGGGCAUAAGUAAUCCAGGGCUAGAUACUCAGGUGUG